GUGCCAGCCGCCGCGGUAAUACGUAGGGUGCAAGCGUUAAUCGGAAUUACUGGGCGUAAAGCGUGCGCAGGCGGUUUUGUAAGUCUGACGUGAAAUCCCCGGGCUCAACCUGGGAAUUGCGUUGGAGACUGCAAGGCUGGAGUCUGGCAGAGGGGGGUAGAAUUCCACGUGUAGCAGUGAAAUGCGUAGAGAUGUGGAGGAACACCGAUGGCGAAGGCAGCCCCCUGGGUCAAGACUGACGCUCAUGCACGAAAGCGUGGGGAGCAAACAGGAUUAGAAACCCGUGUAGUCC
Molecule: ribosomal RNA, 292 nt
Filed under: uncultured bacterium
Lineage: Bacteria
Description: partial 16S ribosomal RNA
Rfam family: Bacterial small subunit ribosomal RNA
Source: RNAcentral